This 1447-nucleotide ribosomal RNA is filed under the name Stolonochloa pygmaea. RNAcentral's name for it is "bacterial LSU rRNA". It matches the Rfam family "Bacterial large subunit ribosomal RNA", at positions 1131 to 2765 of the family's 2925-position model. Lineage: Eukaryota; Viridiplantae; Streptophyta; Magnoliopsida; Poales; Poaceae. The record is from RNAcentral.
UGCGUAACAGCUCACUGGUCGAGCGACAGAGCAUCGAUAAUAAUCGGGCAUCAAGUGUAGUACCGAAGCUCAGGAUUGUAUAGCGAUAUACAGUGGUAGGGGAGCAUUCUAACAACGGCGAAGCUGACUGGUAAUGGUUGGUGGAGUGGUUAGAAAAGCAAAUGUAGGCAUAAGUAACGAUAAGGCAGGCGAGAAACCUGCCCACCGAUAGACUAAGGGUUCCGCGGCAAUGCUAAUCAUCCGCGGGUAAGUCGGGUCCUAAGCGGAAGCCGAGAGGCGUACGUGAUGGCCAAUGGGUUAAUAUUCCCAUACCACCGUGAUGAGCGAUGGGGUGACGGAGGAGUGAAAGUUGCGCGCACUGACGAAAUAGUGCGUUAAAAGGUGUAGGUAUAGGCUUUGUAGGAAAAUCCGCAGAGCUUGCUGAAACCCAAUAGUACCAGGAGGCUUCGGCCGAAUGGAUAGACAACGUAAGCAGACUUCCAAGAAAACCCCCUAAGCAUAUUGUCAUGGUGCCCGUACCGGAAACCGACACAGGUAGUCAAGGAGAGAAUCCUGAGGUGCUCGAGUGAAUCAUGGCUAAGGAACUCGGCAAAUUAACCCUGUAACUUCGGAAGAAGGGGUGCCUCCUCUAGCUUGCUAGAGAGGUCGCAGAGAAAUGGCCCAGGCGACUGUUUAACAAAAACACAUGGCUAUGCGAAAUCGCAAGAUGAAGUAUAUGGCCUGACACCUGCCCGGUGCUGGUAGGUAUGAUGUCUAUUAUAGAAUAAUUACUCCAGUAAACGGCAGCUGUAACUCUAACGGUUCUAAGGUAGCGAAGCUCCUCGUCACUUAAAUGGUGUCCUGCAUGAAUGGUGCCACGACACCCCCACUGUCUCUUCUUUGGACCAUGUGAAAUUAUACUGUCAGUGCAGAUACUGGCAAUCUUUAGCUGGACGGGAAGACCCUAUGAAGCUUUACUGAUACUCCAGCCUAAUACUAGCUGGGGAAGUCAGUUUUCCUGGGGAGGGAUCCUCCAAAAAAGUAACGGAGGACUACAAAGGCAUGUUUUAGAAAUUGCAAUGGAGUAAUCAUGCUUGACUUCGCCGACUUACUUGUCGGGAAGGGAUUUUUAAAAGUCGGUCAUAGUGAUCCGGUUAAUUAAUAACCGCUUAUGGAACAAAGCUACUCUAGGGAUAACAGGCUAGUCUCGGAUUAAAGUACUUAUUUUAUCCGAGGUUCGGCACCUCGAUGUCGACUCUUCCCAUCCUGGAACUGCAGAAGGUUCCAAGGGUGCAGCUGUUCUCUGCCUAAGGGGGAACGUGAGUUGGGUUUACUGCGCCGUGAGGCAGCAGGGAUCCUAUCCACUAAAGAAAUGUGAGUUAAAAACGAAAGGCUAUAGUACGAGAGGAUUUGGUCUGUUGUACCUAUGGUCACUCUUCGUGAGAAGACAGCUAAGUACAGGAAUCAU